RNAcentral lists this ribosomal RNA (2921 nucleotides) under Staphylococcus aureus. RNAcentral describes it as "bacterial LSU rRNA". It matches the Rfam family "Bacterial large subunit ribosomal RNA". The record is from RNAcentral. RNAcentral also lists the same sequence under 1 other name. Lineage: Bacteria; Bacillati; Bacillota; Bacilli; Caryophanales; Staphylococcaceae.
UUAAGUUAUUAAGGGCGCACGGUGGAUGCCUUGGCACUAGAAGCCGAUGAAGGACGUUACUAACGACGAUAUGCUUUGGGGAGCUGUAAGUAAGCUUUGAUCCAGAGAUUUCCGAAUGGGGAAACCCAACAUGAGUUAUGUCAUGUUAUCGAUAUGUGAAUACAUAGCAUAUCAGAAGGCACACCCGGAGAACUGAAACAUCUUAGUACCCGGAGGAAGAGAAAGAAAAUUCGAUUCCCUUAGUAGCGGCGAGCGAAACGGGAAGAGCCCAAACCAACAAGCUUGCUUGUUGGGGUUGUAGGACACUCUAUACGGAGUUACAAAGGACGACAUUAGACGAAUCAUCUGGAAAGAUGAAUCAAAGAAGGUAAUAAUCCUGUAGUCGAAAAUGUUGUCUCUCUUGAGUGGAUCCUGAGUACGACGGAGCACGUGAAAUUCCGUCGGAAUCUGGGAGGACCAUCUCCUAAGGCUAAAUACUCUCUAGUGACCGAUAGUGAACCAGUACCGUGAGGGAAAGGUGAAAAGCACCCCGGAAGGGGAGUGAAAUAGAACCUGAAACCGUGUGCUUACAAGUAGUCAGAGCCCGUUAAUGGGUGAUGGCGUGCCUUUUGUAGAAUGAACCGGCGAGUUACGAUUUGAUGCAAGGUUAAGCAGUAAAUGUGGAGCCGUAGCGAAAGCGAGUCUGAAUAGGGCGUUUAGUAUUUGGUCGUAGACCCGAAACCAGGUGAUCUACCCUUGGUCAGGUUGAAGUUCAGGUAACACUGAAUGGAGGACCGAACCGACUUACGUUGAAAAGUGAGCGGAUGAACUGAGGGUAGCGGAGAAAUUCCAAUCGAACCUGGAGAUAGCUGGUUCUCUCCGAAAUAGCUUUAGGGCUAGCCUCAAGUGAUGAUUAUUGGAGGUAGAGCACUGUUUGGACGAGGGGCCCCUCUCGGGUUACCGAAUUCAGACAAACUCCGAAUGCCAAUUAAUUUAACUUGGGAGUCAGAACAUGGGUGAUAAGGUCCGUGUUCGAAAGGGAAACAGCCCAGACCACCAGCUAAGGUCCCAAAAUAUAUGUUAAGUGGAAAAGGAUGUGGCGUUGCCCAGACAACUAGGAUGUUGGCUUAGAAGCAGCCAUCAUUUAAAGAGUGCGUAAUAGCUCACUAGUCGAGUGACACUGCGCCGAAAAUGUACCGGGGCUAAACAUAUUACCGAAGCUGUGGAUUGUCCUUUGGACAAUGGUAGGAGAGCGUUCUAAGGGCGUUGAAGCAUGAUCGUAAGGACAUGUGGAGCGCUUAGAAGUGAGAAUGCCGGUGUGAGUAGCGAAAGACGGGUGAGAAUCCCGUCCACCGAUUGACUAAGGUUUCCAGAGGAAGGCUCGUCCGCUCUGGGUUAGUCGGGUCCUAAGCUGAGGCCGACAGGCGUAGGCGAUGGAUAACAGGUUGAUAUUCCUGUACCACCUAUAAUCGUUUUAAUCGAUGGGGGGACGCAGUAGGAUAGGCGAAGCGUGCGAUUGGAUUGCACGUCUAAGCAGUAAGGCUGAGUAUUAGGCAAAUCCGGUACUCAUUAAGGCUGAGCUGUGAUGGGGAGAAGACAUUGUGUCUUCGAGUCGUUGAUUUCACACUGCCGAGAAAAGCCUCUAGAUAGAAAAUAGGUGCCCGUACCGCAAACCGACACAGGUAGUCAAGAUGAGAAUUCUAAGGUGAGCGAGCGAACUCUCGUUAAGGAACUCGGCAAAAUGACCCCGUAACUUCGGGAGAAGGGGUGCUCUUUAGGGUUAACGCCCAGAAGAGCCGCAGUGAAUAGGCCCAAGCGACUGUUUAUCAAAAACACAGGUCUCUGCUAAACCGUAAGGUGAUGUAUAGGGGCUGACGCCUGCCCGGUGCUGGAAGGUUAAGAGGAGUGGUUAGCUUCUGCGAAGCUACGAAUCGAAGCCCCAGUAAACGGCGGCCGUAACUAUAACGGUCCUAAGGUAGCGAAAUUCCUUGUCGGGUAAGUUCCGACCCGCACGAAAGGCGUAACGAUUUGGGCACUGUCUCAACGAGAGACUCGGUGAAAUCAUAGUACCUGUGAAGAUGCAGGUUACCCGCGACAGGACGGAAAGACCCCGUGGAGCUUUACUGUAGCCUGAUAUUGAAAUUCGGCACAGCUUGUACAGGAUAGGUAGGAGCCUUUGAAACGUGAGCGCUAGCUUACGUGGAGGCGCUGGUGGGAUACUACCCUAGCUGUGUUGGCUUUCUAACCCGCACCACUUAUCGUGGUGGGAGACAGUGUCAGGCGGGCAGUUUGACUGGGGCGGUCGCCUCCUAAAAGGUAACGGAGGCGCUCAAAGGUUCCCUCAGAAUGGUUGGAAAUCAUUCAUAGAGUGUAAAGGCAUAAGGGAGCUUGACUGCGAGACCUACAAGUCGAGCAGGGUCGAAAGACGGACUUAGUGAUCCGGUGGUUCCGCAUGGAAGGGCCAUCGCUCAACGGAUAAAAGCUACCCCGGGGAUAACAGGCUUAUCUCCCCCAAGAGUUCACAUCGACGGGGAGGUUUGGCACCUCGAUGUCGGCUCAUCGCAUCCUGGGGCUGUAGUCGGUCCCAAGGGUUGGGCUGUUCGCCCAUUAAAGCGGUACGCGAGCUGGGUUCAGAACGUCGUGAGACAGUUCGGUCCCUAUCCGUCGUGGGCGUAGGAAAUUUGAGAGGAGCUGUCCUUAGUACGAGAGGACCGGGAUGGACAUACCUCUGGUGUACCAGUUGUCGUGCCAACGGCAUAGCUGGGUAGCUAUGUGUGGACGGGAUAAGUGCUGAAAGCAUCUAAGCAUGAAGCCCCCCUCAAGAUGAGAUUUCCCAACUUCGGUUAUAAGAUCCCUCAAAGAUGAUGAGGUUAAUAGGUUCGAGGUGGAAGCAUGGUGACAUGUGGAGCUGACGAAUACUAAUCGAUCGAAGACUUAAUCAA